This 2150-nucleotide long non-coding RNA is filed under the name Homo sapiens (human). RNAcentral describes it as "long non-coding RNA NONHSAT217441.1". Lineage: Eukaryota; Metazoa; Chordata; Mammalia; Primates; Hominidae. The record is from RNAcentral.
GAAACACAGUGGCAGAUGUUGAUGAGAAAGCAAGUGCUGCACUUUAUGACUUUUCUGUGCCUUCCUCAGAGACGGUCAUCUGCAGGUCUCAGCCAGCCCCUGUGUCCCCACAACAGAAGUCAGUGUUGGUCUCUCCACCUGCAGUAUCUGCAGGGGGAGUGCCACCUAUGCCGGUCAUCUGCCAGAUGGUUCCCCUUCCUGCCAACAACCCUGUUGUGACAACAGUCGUUCCCAGCACUCCUCCCAGCCAGCCACCAGCCGUUUGCCCCCCUGUUGUGUUCAUGGGCACACAAGUCCCCAAAGGCGCUGUCAUGUUUGUGGUACCCCAGCCCGUUGUGCAGAGUUCAAAGCCUCCGGUGGUGAGCCCGAAUGGCACCAGACUCUCUCCCAUUGCCCCUGCUCCUGGGUUUUCCCCUUCAGCAGCAAAAGUCACUCCUCAGAUUGAUUCAUCAAGGAUAAGGAGUCACAUCUGUAGCCACCCAGGAUGUGGCAAGACAUACUUUAAAAGUUCCCAUCUGAAGGCCCACACGAGGACGCACACAGGAGAAAAGCCUUUCAGCUGUAGCUGGAAAGGUUGUGAAAGGAGGUUUGCCCGUUCUGAUGAACUGUCCAGACACAGGCGAACCCACACGGGUGAGAAGAAAUUUGCGUGCCCCAUGUGUGACCGGCGGUUCAUGAGGAGUGACCAUUUGACCAAGCAUGCCCGGCGCCAUCUAUCAGCCAAGAAGCUACCAAACUGGCAGAUGGAAGUGAGCAAGCUAAAUGACAUUGCUCUACCUCCAACCCCUGCUCCCACACAGUGACAGACCGGAAAGUGAAGAGUCAGAACUAACUUUGGUCUCAGCGGGAGCCAGUGGUGAUGUAAAAAUGCUUCCACUGCAAGUCUGUGGCCCCACAACGUGGGCUUAAAGCAGAAGCCCCACAGCCUGGCACGAAGGCCCCGCCUGGGUUAGGUGACUAAAAGGGCUUCGGCCACAGGCAGGUCACAGAAAGGCAGGUUUCAUUUCUUAUCACAUAAGAGAGAUGAGAAAGCUUUUAUUCCUUUGAAUAUUUUUUGAAGGUUUCAGAUGAGGUCAACACAGGUAGCACAGAUUUUGAAUCUGUGUGCAUAUUUGUUACUUUACUUUUGCUGUUUAUACUUGAGACCAACUUUUCAAUGUGAUUCUUCUAAAGCACUGGUUUCAAGAAUAUGGAGGCUGGAAGGAAAUAAACAUUACGGUACAGACAUGGAGAUGUAAAAUGAGUUUGUAUUAUUACAAAUAUUGUCAUCUUUUUCUAGAGUUAUCUUCUUUAUUAUUCCUAGUCUUUCCAGUCAACAUCGUGGAUGUAGUGAUUAAAUAUAUCUAGAACUAUCAUUUUUACACUAUUGUGAAUAUUUGGAAUUGAACGACUGUAUAUUGCUAAGAGGGCCCAAAGAAUUGGAAUCCUCCUUAAUUUAAUUGCUUUGAAGCAUAGCUACAAUUUGUUUUUGCAUUUUUGUUUUGAAAGUUUAACAAAUGACUGUAUCUAGGCAUUUCAUUAUGCUUUGAACUUUAGUUUGCCUGCAGUUUCUUGUGUAGAUUUGAAAAUUGUAUACCAAUGUGUUUUCUGUAGACUCUAAGAUACACUGCACUUUGUUUAGAAAAAAAACUGAAGAUGAAAUAUAUAUUGUAAAGAAGGGAUAUUAAGAAUCUUAGAUAACUUCUUGAAAAAGAUGGCUUAUGUCAUCAGUAAAGUACCUUUAUGUUAUGAGGAUAUAAUGUGUGCUUUAUUGAAUUAGAAAAUUAGUGACCAUUAUUCACAGGUGGACAAAUGUUGAUGUUGUCCUGUUAAUUUAUAGGCGUUUUUUGGGGAUGUGGAGGUAGUUGGGUAGAAAAAUUAUUAGAACAUUCACUUUUGUUAACAGUAUUUCUCUUUUAUUCUGUUAUAUAGUGGAUGAUAUACACAGUGGCAAAACAAAAGUACAUUGCUUAAAAUAUAUAGUGAAAAAUGUCACUAUAUCUUCCCAUUUAACAUUGUUUUUGUAUAUUGGGUGUAGAUUUCUGACAUCAAAACUUGGACCCUUGGAAAACAAAAGUUUUAAUUAAAAAAAAUCCUUGUGACUUACAAUUUGCACAAUAUUUCUUUUGUUGUACUUUAUAUCUUGUUUACAAUAAAGAAUUCCCUUUGGU